Unclassified non-coding RNA from Cercocebus atys (sooty mangabey), 102 nucleotides. It matches the Rfam family "Y RNA". From Rfam's summary of the family: Y RNAs are components of the Ro ribonucleoprotein particle (Ro RNP), in association with Ro60 and La proteins. The Y RNAs and Ro60 and La proteins are well conserved, but the function of the Ro RNP is not known. Lineage: Eukaryota; Metazoa; Chordata; Mammalia; Primates; Cercopithecidae. The record is from Ensembl.
AACUGGUCUGAGUUCAGUGGUGUUUACAACUAAUUGAUCACAACCACUUACAGAUUUAUUUGUUCCUUUUCUAUUCCCACUGUUUCAUUCUACUAGCCUUUG